This 553-nucleotide ribosomal RNA is filed under the name uncultured bacterium. RNAcentral's name for it is "bacterial LSU rRNA". It matches the Rfam family "Bacterial large subunit ribosomal RNA", at positions 1713 to 2280 of the family's 2925-position model. The record is from RNAcentral.
CUCGGCAAAAUGACCCGUAACUUCGGAGAAGGGGUGCCAACGAGAGUUGGCCGCAGAGAAUAGGCUCAAGCAACUGUUUAGACAAAACACAGGUCUAUGCAAAACCGUAAGGUGAGGUAUAUGGGCUGACGCCUGCCGGUGCUGGAAGGUUAAGAGGAGAGGUUAGCGCAAGCGAAGCUUUGAAUUUAAGCCCCAGUAAACGGCGGCCGUAACAAUAACGGUCCUAAGGUAGCGAAAUUCCUUGUCGGGUAAGUUCCGACCCGCACGAAAGGCGUAAUGAUUUGAGCGCUGUCUCGACAAUGCAUCCGGUGAAAUUGAAGUACCAGUGAAGAUGCUGGUUACCCGCGCCAGGACGGAAAGACCCCAUGGAGCUUUACUCCAGUUUGGUACUGGGGUCCGGCAGUGCAUGUACAGGAUAGGUGGGAGGCUUUGAACCUGGAACGCCAGUUUCAGGGGAGCCAUUGUUGGGAUACCACCCUUGUGCUGCUGGGCUUCUAACCAGCGGCCUUUAUCAGGCCGGGGGACAAUGCCAGACGGGGAGUUUGACUGGGGC